UAGGGAAUCUUCGGCAAUGGGGGCAAUCCUGACCGAGCAACGCCUCGUGAGUGAAGAAGGUCUUCGGAUCGUAAAGUUCUGUUGUAAGAGAAGAACGUGUUUGAGAGUGGAGAGUUCACACAUUGACGGUAACUUACCAGAAAGGGACGGCUAACUACGUGCCAGCAGCCGCGGUAUUACGUAGGUCCCGAGCGUUGUCCGGAUUUAUUGGGCGUAAAGCGAGCGCAGGCGGUUUAAUAAGUCUGAAGUUAAAGGCAGUGGCUUAACAAUUGUUCACUUUGGUAACUGUUAAACUUGAGUGCAGAAGGGGAGGGUGGAAUUCCAUGUGUAGCGGUGAAAUGCGUAGAUAUAUGGAGGAAGACCGGUGGCGAAGGAGGCUCUCUGGUCUGUAACUGACGAUGAGGCUCGAAAGCGUGGGGAGCAAACAGG
RNAcentral lists this ribosomal RNA (429 nucleotides) under bacterium. RNAcentral describes it as "partial 16S ribosomal RNA". It matches the Rfam family "Bacterial small subunit ribosomal RNA", at positions 355 to 776 of the family's 1533-position model. The record is from RNAcentral.